UGGGGAAUAUUGCACAAUGGGCGCAAGUCUGAUGCAGCAACGCCGCGUGAACGAUGAAGGUCUUCGGAUCGUAAAGUUCUGUUGCAGGGGAAGAUAAUGACGGUACCCUGUGAGGAAGCCCCGGCUAACUACGUGCCAGCAGCCGCGGUAAUACGUAGGGGGCUAGCGUUAUCCGGAUUUACUGGGCGUAAAGGGUGCGUAGGUGGUCUUUCAAGUCGGUGGUUAAAGGCUACGGCUCAACCGUAGUUAGCCUCCGAAACUGGAAGACUUGAGUGCAGGAGAGGAAAGUGGAAUUCCCAGUGUAGCGAUGAAAUGCGUAGAUAUUGGGAGGAACACCAGUAGCGAAGGCGGCUUUCUGGACUGCAACUGACACUGAGGCACGAAAGCGUGGGUAGCAAACAGG
Molecule: ribosomal RNA, 403 nt
Filed under: Verrucomicrobiota bacterium
Lineage: Bacteria; Pseudomonadati; Verrucomicrobiota
Description: Verrucomicrobia bacterium partial 16S ribosomal RNA
Rfam family: Bacterial small subunit ribosomal RNA
Source: RNAcentral